GGCGGACGGGUGAGUAACGCGUAAGGAACUUGCCUCUUGGACUGGGACAACUGUUGGAAACGACAGCUAAUACCGGAUAUUAUGAGAUUCUCGCAUGAGAAACUUAUGAAAGCUAUAUGCGCCAAGAGAGAGCCUUGCGUUCCAUUAGCUAGUUGGUGGGGUAACGGCCCACCAAGGCGACGAUGGAUAGCCGGCCUGAGAGGGUGAACGGCCACAAGGGGACUGAGACACGGCCCUUACUCCUACGGGAGGCAGCAGUGGGGAAUAUUGGACAAUGGGCCACAAGCCUGAUCCAGCAAUUCUGUGUGCACGAUGAAGGUCUUCGGAUUGUAAAGUGCUUUCAGUUGGGAAGAAGAAAGUGACGGUACCAACAGAAGAAGCGACGGCUAAAUACGUGCCAGCAGCCGCGGUAAUACGUAUGUCGCAAGCGUUAUCCGGAUUUAUUGGGCGUAAAGCGCGUCUAGGCGGAAAAAUAAGUCUGAUGUUAAAAUGCGGGGCUCAACUCCGUAUUGCGUUGGAAACUGUUUUUCUAGAGUACUGGAGAGGUGGGCAGAACUACAAGUGUAGAGGUGAAAUUCGUAGAUAUUUGUAGGAAUGCCGAUGGAGAAGUCAGCUCACUGGACAGAUACUGACGCUGA
This 638-nucleotide ribosomal RNA is filed under the name uncultured bacterium. RNAcentral describes it as "bacterial SSU rRNA". It matches the Rfam family "Bacterial small subunit ribosomal RNA", at positions 97 to 749 of the family's 1533-position model. The record is from RNAcentral.